AGGAGGAACAACCAAGGUGGCGGCGGCAGCUCUGGAGCCCUGGAGUCUGCUCCCGCAGUAACUCCGGAGCUCUCUGUCUGCAGGGCCUGGAGGCUCCGGGGCGGG
This 105-nucleotide microRNA precursor is filed under the name Canis lupus familiaris (dog). RNAcentral describes it as "mir-8834 microRNA precursor family". It matches the Rfam family "mir-8834 microRNA precursor family". RNAcentral also lists the same sequence under 1 other name. Lineage: Eukaryota; Metazoa; Chordata; Mammalia; Carnivora; Canidae. The record is from Rfam by way of RNAcentral.